GAAACUCGCCUACAUGAAGCUGGAAUUGCUAGUAAUCACAGGUCAGCAUACUGUGGUGAAUACGUUCCCGGGCCUUGUACACACCGCCCGUCACACCAUGAGAGUUGGGAAUACCCGAAGCCUGUGAGCUAACAAUAAGAGGCAGCAGUCGAAGGUAGAAUCAAUGAUUGGGGUGAAGUCGUAACAAGGUACC
RNAcentral lists this ribosomal RNA (193 nucleotides) under uncultured bacterium. RNAcentral describes it as "partial 16S ribosomal RNA". It matches the Rfam family "Bacterial small subunit ribosomal RNA", at positions 1307 to 1500 of the family's 1533-position model. The record is from RNAcentral.